Molecule: long non-coding RNA, 236 nt
Organism: Daphnia pulicaria
Lineage: Eukaryota; Metazoa; Arthropoda; Branchiopoda; Diplostraca; Daphniidae
Exons: 3
Source: RefSeq, a predicted model, not a curated record
UUACGCCACACUAGUUUGGUUUUGGAACUGACGAAAGAGCUUGGAAACCGUCUGAAUUUCAGCGUCAAUGUUGUGGAACCCGCUGAUGGUAAAUGGGGCUCUCGACUUAGCUUCAGUCGGUGGACUGGCAUGGUGGAACAAGUUCGGACAGGAUCGGUAGCAUUUGCCGCUGCAGGGUUCACUGUCACAGCCGAUCGAAUGAGUGCCGUCAAUUUUAGCAUGUCUCUAGACGCCCG